ACACUCCUGCGGGAGGCAGCAGUGGGGAAUUUUGGACAAUGGGCGAAAGCCUGAUCCAGCAAUGCCGCGUGAGUGAAGAAGGCCUUCGGGUUGUAAAGCUCUUUUGUCAGGGAAGAAACGGUGAGAGCUAAUAUCUCUUGCUAAUGACGGUACCUGAAGAAUAAGCACCGGCUAACUACGUGCCAGCAGCCGCGGUAAUACGUAGGGUGCAAGCGUUAAUCGGAAUUACUGGGCGUAAAGCGUGCGCAGGCGGUUUUGUAAGUCUGAUGUGAAAUCCCCGGGCUCAACCUGGGAAUUGCAUUGGAGACUGCAAGGCUAGAAUCUGGCAGAGGGGGGUAGAAUUCCACGUGUAGCAGUGAAAUGCGUAGAUAUGUGGAGGAACACCGAUGGCGAAGGCAGCCCCCUGGGUCAAGAUUGACGCUCAUGCACGAAAGCGUGGGGAGCAAACAGGAUUAGAAACCCCAGUAGUCCCAUGAU
This 477-nucleotide ribosomal RNA is filed under the name uncultured organism. Its description in RNAcentral is "partial 16S ribosomal RNA". It matches the Rfam family "Bacterial small subunit ribosomal RNA", at positions 333 to 801 of the family's 1533-position model. The record is from RNAcentral.